RNAcentral lists this ribosomal RNA (2736 nucleotides) under Triticum aestivum (bread wheat). RNAcentral's name for it is "partial small subunit ribosomal RNA". The record is from RNAcentral. Lineage: Eukaryota; Viridiplantae; Streptophyta; Magnoliopsida; Poales; Poaceae.
AUGGUGAUAGCGGCUCGGCCGUGGCUGAGGCUCCUGCUCGGCCUCGCCGUCGCCGCCGGCGUACUUCAAGUCCGCGGCCAGCGAACGCCUAGUAUCACAGGCUUCAUCAGCAUAGACUGCGGGCUGCCGGAGCAGAGCGGCUACGUGGACGCCGCCACCAAGAUACCGUACACCUCCGACGCCGGGUUCACGGACGCCGGCUCCAACCGCGACAUCUCCGCCGUGAACAUGGAUCCACGCAUGUCACGAACCCACCUCAACAUGCGCAGCUUCCCGGACACGGCCCGGGGCUGCUACACCCUGCCGUCCCUCACGCCGGGGUCCAAGUACCUGGUCCGCGCCACCUUCAGGUACGGCGACUACGACGGGCUCAGCAAGCUCCCCGCCUUCAACCUCUACCUCGGCGUCAACUUCUGGCGGACGGUGAACAUGUCCAAGGUCGACGCGGUGGUGGUCGCCAAGGCCAUCACCGUGAUCCCCGACGACUCGGUGCAGGUCUGCCUGGUGAACGUCGGCGCCGGGACGCCGUUCAUCUCGGCGCUGGCGCUGAGGCCUCUCGAGAACUCGCUGUAUCCGCAGGCGAACGCGACGCAGGGGCUGGUCCUGAUCGGCAGGCGCAGCCUGGGUGCCACGGGCGUGUUGCCUGUCAGGUACCCGGACGAUCCGUACGACCGGGCUUGGCUGCCGUGGAGCGACCCGGAGGUGUGGACGGACAUCUCAACGACGGAGAAGGUCCGGGAGACUAUCGGCAACCUCCGCUUCCAUGUGCCGUCCGCCGUAAUGCAGACUGCCAUCAUCGCGCGCAACGACUCCAGGAACAAGACCAUCGACUUCUCGUGGGUCACCGAGCCAAACCACGCCUACCCACUGCCCGGGUGCAUUGGUAUCUUGUACGUCGCCGAGCUGCAGAUCCUAGCCAGUAAUGAUAUGCGCGAGUUCAACGUCAUUGCCAACGGCAAGAAGAAUAAGCUCCCGUACACGCUCGAGUACCUCUUCGCCGACGCCAUAUCUAACAGGGAACCACAUCAUGGGUACAACCAAUACAACUACACCAUGAUCGCCACUGCCAACUCGACACUGCCACCGAUCAUCAAUGCCUUCGAGUUUUUCUCGGUCAUCUCCACAGCCAACGUUGGAACAGACAGUCAGGAUGUUUUUGCCAUCAACGCAAUCAAGGCUAAGUACCAUGUGAAGAAGAAUUGGAUGGGUGACCCGUGCGCUCCCAAGAAUUUUGCGUGGGAGGGAUUGACCUGUAGCUAUGCUAUUUCUGGGCGUCCAAGAAUUACAAGCAUAAAUAUGUCAUCUGGCGGUUUGAGCAGCGAUAUAUCACCUUAUUUCGCUGACAUCAAAGAUCUCCAGUAUUUGGAUUUAUCGAACAAUAAAUUAACAGGAUCAAUUCCUAAUGUCCUUUCACGACUACCCGCUCUCGUGGUUCUAGAUUUGACUGGCCACCAGCUUAGUGGAUCAAUUCCUUCCGGGCUUCUGAAGAGAACUCAGGGUGGUUCUCUAGCUAUUAGAUAUGGCAACAAUCCAAACCUUUGUAGCAACAACAGUUACUGCCAGCUUACAAAAAGGAAGAGCAACUCUAUGCUUACCGUGUAUAUUGUUGUUCCCGUAUUUGUAGUUCUGCUGAUAGGAGCACUUGUAGUACUACUGAUCUUCAGAGUGAGAAAAAGGAAAGAAUGAAUAGUUUUUGCUCAAAAAGAGUGGAAGGUAAUGUUAUUUUCAUUCUUGAAAUUUGAAGGAUUGGCGAGGGAAGGCAAUGGACAUGGACAUAACCGCCAGUUCACGUAUAGGGAGCUGAAGGUCAUAACGGACAACUUCAAGGUAGUGCUCGGCCAAGGUGGGUUCGGCACUGUUUAUGACGGCUUCUUGGAUGAUGGUACUCACGUCGCAGUCAAGUUGUUGUCUCAGUCUUCCAGUCAAGGUAUCAAAGAGUUCUCGACAGAGGCUCAGACAUUGACGAAGAUCCAUCACAAGAAUCUUAUAUCCUUGAUUGGUUACUGCAAAGAUGGAAAGUAUUUGGCACUUGUCUACGAGCAUAUGUCCGAAGGAAACCUCGAAGAUAAACUCAGAGGGAGAGAUGGCAACGCUGUACCCUUAGCCUAGAGGCAGAGGCUCCGUAUUGCACUGGAAUCCGCAGAAGGGCUCGACUAUCUCCACAAGGCAUGCAGCCCUCCCUUCGUGCAUCGUGAUGUGAAGACAUUAAACAUCCUACUGAAUGCUAAUCUUGAGGCCAAGGUUGCCUACUUUGGCUUGAUGAAGGCUUUCAAUCAUGACGAUGAUACCCACAUAUCCACAGCGCGGGUGAUUGGCACAAGAGGCUACCUCGCACCUGAGUAUGCAACAGCCCUACAAUUGAAUGCAAAGAGCGAUGUGUAUAGCUUUGGCAUUGUACUACUGGUGGUGAUAACAGGGUGCCCAGCCAUCCAACAAUCUGGUGAGAUCAUCCAUAUCAUCCAGUGGACACGACUACGCCUCACAGGAGGCAACAUCGAGGAAGUGGUAGACGCACACAUGCAAGGUGACUACAACAUCAAUGGUGUGUGGAAGGCCGUGGAUCUUGCGCUCAAGUGCACUGACCAUGCUCCCGCGCAACGUCCAACAAUGGCUAAUGUGGUGGCCCAGUUACAGCAUUGCCUCGAGCUAGAGGGUGAAGACCACACAGGCAAAAACCGUAACGGUAGCUUCUACAUGACAGCCGAUUGCAAUGGCGACCAUGGUCUACUAAUGUAA